GCUGCCAUUUUAGAGAAACUUUAGUUAGGUUUUAUUUCCCUUCUCGUUCGUUUCUGAAGUCGCAAGCAGCCCGCAGCCGCCCCGGCCUCACUCCUCCUGUCUGCGCCAAUCCGCUGUUGGUCACCGCCCAUCUCCCGCCUGCAGAGACCACCUGCUAUCUUCCAUCGCUGGCAGAAGCCGGCCAUAGUGCUCGGGUAGAGGAGCGAAGCACCCGCUUACACUGAGAAGGAUCUGAUGGGCUCGAACAAGACGAUGAGCAAAGGUGGUGGCGUGAUUGCUUCUCCUUGCGCACAACUCCGGGCCACCUACCAUGACUGCUUUAAUCGGUGGUAUUCGGAGAAGUUUUCAAAGGGUCAAUGGGACAAAGAGGAGUGCAUCGCCGAGUGGGACAAAUAUAGAGCUUGUCUCGAGCAAUAUUUGGAUGACAAACACCUGAGGCAUGCUCUCUUGGAAGCGGAUUCCUCUCCUUACUUUGUUAAAGAUGGUGCAGGAUCGUCUAAUAGUGUGAACACUUGAGCACAUUGAUUACAUUGUGUUCAAAAGGAAUAACUGGCUAAAUCUGAGUGACUUCUACGGAGAUAACCAAAAUAAUAAUGGAAUCUUCAAGACAGUGCGAUUAUGAUCUCCCGAGUUCUCUUAAUCUUCACAAGUAUUAUAUGACUACUUACUGGAAUGAUUCUCUUGUGAUCUAGUGGUCGCCGCAGCGGUAAAUAACCGACAAGCUUUGCUAAACACCAGACAGACCCCAAAGUGGCUCCUUUCAUUGCUAAGAUAGAGAAAAUUAAAAUUUAGAUCGUAAAAUUAUUGAUCAUAUAUCUUUUUUAAUUCUUUAAUUAUAAAUAAAUAAUAUAUGACAUGAGGUGCAAUAUUCUCAAGUUUUUAAAUUUUCAUUUGGUGUUGAAUAUUUUUCAUUUCAAAUUUAUGGAUUCAUGCUAGUUGAUAAA
Zingiber officinale is the source of this 944-nucleotide long non-coding RNA. RefSeq lists it as uncharacterized. The record is from RefSeq and is a predicted model, not a curated record. Lineage: Eukaryota; Viridiplantae; Streptophyta; Magnoliopsida; Zingiberales; Zingiberaceae. The transcript has 5 exons.